Molecule: ribosomal RNA, 1230 nt
Filed under: unidentified marine bacterioplankton
Lineage: Bacteria
Also listed under: 1 other name
Description: partial 16S ribosomal RNA
Rfam family: Bacterial small subunit ribosomal RNA
Source: RNAcentral
GGCGGUGCGCCUUAUGCAUGCAAGUCGAGCGAAGCUUUUCAGUAGUUUACUACAGAAAAUGACUGAGCGGCGAACGGGUGAGUAACGCGUGAGCAACCUACCUUAGUUACUGGGAUAGCCCGAGGAAACUCGGAUUAAUACCGGAUAUUCUUAUUUAAUCACAUGAUUUUUUAAGGAAAGGUCAGCCGAACUAAGAUGGGCUCGCGUUCUAUCAGCUAGUUGGUAGCGUAAUGGCCUACCAAGGCUACGACGGAUAGCUGGUCUGAGAGGACGAUCAGCCACACUGGGACUGAGACACGGCCCAGACUCCUACGGGAGGCUGCAGCAGGGAAUAUUGCGCAAUGAGCGAAAGCUUGACGCAGCGACACCGCGUGUGGGAUGACGGAUCUAGGUUUGUAAACCACUUUCAGGAGGGAAGAAAAUGACGGUACCUCCACAAGAAGCCCCGGCCAACUACGUGCCAGCAGCCGCGGUAAUACGGGAGUGGCAAGCGUUAUCCGGAAUUAUUGGGCGUAAAGCGUCCGCAGGCGGCUUUUCAAGUCUGCUGUUAAAGCGUGGAGCUUAACUCCAUCAUGGCAGUGGAAACUGAAAGGCUUGAGUAUGGUAGGGGCAGAGGGAAUUCCCGGUGUAGCGGUGAAAUGCGUAGAUAUCGGGAAGAACACCAGUGGCGAAGGCGCUCUGCUGGGCCAUUACUGACGCUCAUGGACGAAAGCCAGGGGAGCGAAAGGGAUUAGAUACCCCUGUAGUCCUGGCCGUAAACGAUGAACACUAGGUGUCGGGGGAAUCGACCCCUUCGGUGUCGUAGCUAACGCGUUAAGUGUUCCGCCUGGGGAGUACGCACGCAAGUGUGAAACUCAAAGGAAUUGACGGGGGCCCGCACAAGCGGUGGAGUAUGUGGUUUAAUUCGAUGCAACGCGAAGAACCUUACCAGGGUUUGACAUCCUGCGAACCUCUUAGAAAUUUGAGGGUGCCUUCGGGAAUGCAGUGACAGGUGGUGCAUGGCUGUCGUCAGCUCGUGUCGUGAGAUGUUGGGUUAAGUCCCGCAACGAGCGCAACCCACGUUUUUAGUUGCCAGCAUUUAGUUGGGCACUCUAGAAAGACCGCCGGUGAUAAACCGGAGGAAGGUGUGGAUGACGUCAAGUCAUCAUGCCCCUUACACCCUGGGCUACACACGUACUACAAUGCUACGGACAAAGGGCAGCAAACUCGCGAGAGCUAGCAAAUCCCAUA